CAUCGAUGAAGAACGCAGCGAAAUGCGAUAAGUAAUGUGAAUUGCAGAAUUCAGUGAAUCAUCGAAUCUUUGAACGCACAUUGCGCCCCUUGGUAUUCCGGGGGGCAUGCCUGUUCGAGCGUCAUUUCAACCCUCAAGCUUAGCUUGGUAUUGAGUC
This 157-nucleotide ribosomal RNA is filed under the name Botrytis squamosa. RNAcentral's name for it is "Botryotinia squamosa 5.8S ribosomal RNA". The stretch from base 1 to 124 matches the Rfam family "5.8S ribosomal RNA", at positions 31 to 154 of the family's 154-position model. From Rfam's summary of the family: 5.8S ribosomal RNA (5.8S rRNA) is a component of the large subunit of the eukaryotic ribosome. The record is from RNAcentral. Lineage: Eukaryota; Fungi; Ascomycota; Leotiomycetes; Helotiales; Sclerotiniaceae.